This 324-nucleotide ribosomal RNA is filed under the name uncultured bacterium. RNAcentral describes it as "bacterial SSU rRNA". It matches the Rfam family "Bacterial small subunit ribosomal RNA", at positions 28 to 334 of the family's 1533-position model. The record is from RNAcentral.
GAUGAACGCUGGCGGCGUGCCUAACACAUGCAAGUCGAGCGAAGCAUAUAACAUGAAGUUUUCGGACGGAAUGUUAUCUGACUGAGCGGCGGACGGGUGAGUAACGCGUGGGUAACCUGCCUUAUACAGGGGGAUAACAGUUAGAAAUGACUGCUAAUACCGCAUAAGCGCACAGUACCGCAUGGUAGUGUGUGAAAAACUCCGGUGGUAUAAGAUGGACCCGCGUCUGAUUAGCCAGUUGGCGGGGUAACGGCCCACCAAAGCGACGAUCAGUAGCCGACCUGAGAGGGUGACCGGCCACAUUGGGACUGAGACACGGCCCAG